This 100-nucleotide transfer RNA is filed under the name Daldinia decipiens. Its description in RNAcentral is "tRNA-Asn". It matches the Rfam family "tRNA". Rfam says of the family: Transfer RNA (tRNA) molecules are approximately 80 nucleotides in length. Their secondary structure includes four short double-helical elements and three loops (D, anti-codon, and T loops). Further hydrogen bonds mediate the characteristic L-shaped molecular structure. tRNAs have two regions of fundamental functional importance: the anti-codon, which is responsible for specific mRNA codon recognition, and the 3' end, to which the tRNAs corresponding amino acid is attached (by aminoacyl-tRNA synthetases). tRNAs cope with the degeneracy of the genetic code in two manners: having more than one tRNA (with a specific anti-codon) for a particular amino acid; and 'wobble' base-pairing, i.e. permitting non-standard base-pairing at the 3rd anti-codon position. Lineage: Eukaryota; Fungi; Ascomycota; Sordariomycetes; Xylariales; Hypoxylaceae. The record is from RNAcentral.
UGCCCAUUGGCCCAGUGGUUAAGGCGUCUGACUGUUAUUCUUGUUUAGUGACAAUAGUACACACAUCAGAAGAUCCCUGGUUCGACCCCAGGAUGGGCAG